This 71-nucleotide transfer RNA is filed under the name Phyllosiphon coccidium. RNAcentral describes it as "tRNA-Gly". It matches the Rfam family "tRNA". From Rfam's summary of the family: Transfer RNA (tRNA) molecules are approximately 80 nucleotides in length. Their secondary structure includes four short double-helical elements and three loops (D, anti-codon, and T loops). Lineage: Eukaryota; Viridiplantae; Chlorophyta; Trebouxiophyceae; Watanabeales; Watanabeaceae. The record is from RNAcentral.
GCGGGUUUAGUUCAGUGGUAGAACGCUAGCCUUCCAAGCUGGAUGUCGCGGGUUCGAGUCCCGCAACCCGC